GGUUGGUUAGCUCAGUUGGUUAGAGCGUCGUAUGUCUUCCUUACUACCGCCUAUUAAUCACCAGUGGCUAACACGUACUAGGUACUAAUACAGAAUCCCUCUGUAUCAAGUAAUGCGAAGGUCAUGAGUUCGACCCUCAUACUGACCA
This is a non-coding RNA of Ustulina deusta, 148 nucleotides long. The record is from the annotation of a GenBank genome assembly. Lineage: Eukaryota; Fungi; Ascomycota; Sordariomycetes; Xylariales; Xylariaceae.